GACGAACGCUGGCGGCGCGCCUAACACAUGCAAGUCGAACGGGUUAGAGGAAGCUUGCUUUCUCUAGCUAGUGGCGGACGGGUGAGUAACACGUGAGCAACCUGCCUUUCAGUGGGGAAUAACGUUUGGAAACGAACGCUAAUACCGCAUAACAUAUUUUUAUCGCAUGGUAGAGAUAUCAAAGGAGCAAUCCGCUGAGAGAUGGGCUCGCGCCUGAUUAGCUAGUUGGUGAGGUAAUGGCUCACCAAGGCAACGAUCAGUAGCCGGACUGAGAGGUUGAACGGCCACAUUGGGACUGAGACACGGCCCAGACUCCUACGGGAGGCAGCAGUGGGGGAUAUUGCACAAUGGGCGAAAGCCUGAUGCAGCGACGCCGCGUGAGGGAAGACGGUCUUCGGAUUGUAAACCUCUGUCUUCAGGGACGAUAAUGACGGUACCUGAGGAGGAAGCUCCGGCUAACUACGUGCCAGCAGCCGCGGUAAUACGUAGGGAGCGAGCGUUGUCCGGAAUUACUGGGUGUAAAGGGAGCGUAGGCGGGGAAUCAAGUUGGGUGUGAAACCUAUCGGCUCAACCGGUAGUUGCAUUCAAAACUGAAUCUCUUGAGUGAAGUAGAGGCAGGCGGAAUUCCUAGUGUAGCGGUGAAAUGCGUAGAUAUUAGGAGGAACACCAGUGGCGAAGGCGGCCUGCUGGGCUUUUACUGACGCUGAGGCUCGAAAGCGUGGGUAGCAAACAGGAUUAGAUACCCUGGUAGUCCACGCUGUAAACGAUGAUUACUAGGUGUGGGUGGUUUAAUCCCAUCCGUGCCGCAGCUAACGCAAUAAGUAAUCCACCUGGGGAGUACGGCCGCAAGGUUGA
This 855-nucleotide ribosomal RNA is filed under the name uncultured bacterium. RNAcentral's name for it is "bacterial SSU rRNA". It matches the Rfam family "Bacterial small subunit ribosomal RNA", at positions 28 to 897 of the family's 1533-position model. The record is from RNAcentral.